This 30-nucleotide non-coding RNA is filed under the name Mus musculus (house mouse). The record is from RNAcentral. Lineage: Eukaryota; Metazoa; Chordata; Mammalia; Rodentia; Muridae.
UAAACUAUGGAAUGGCAAAAGUGUGCUGCC